GAUGAACGCUGGCGGCGUGCCUAAUACAUGCAAGUCGAGCGAACAGACGAGGAGCUUGCUCCUCUGACGUUAGCGGCGGACGGGUGAGUAACACGUGGAUAACCUACCUAUAAGACUGGGAUAACUUCGGGAAACCGGAGCUAAUACCGGAUAAUAUAUUGAACCGCAUGGUUCAAUAGUGAAAGACGGUUUUGCUGUCACUUAUAGAUGGAUCCGCGCCGCAUUAGCUAGUUGGUAAGGUAACGGCUUACCAAGGCAACGAUGCGUAGCCGACCUGAGAGGGUGAUCGGCCACACUGGAACUGAGACACGGUCCAGACCCCUACGGGAGGCAGCAGUAGGGAAUCUUCCGCGAUGGGCGAAAGCCUGACGGAGCAACGCCGCGUGAGUGAUGACGGUCUUCGGAUCGUAAAACUCUGUUAUUAGGGAAGAACAAAUGUGUAAGUAACUAUGCACGUCUUGACGGUACCUAAUCAGAAAGCCACGGCUAACUACGUG
RNAcentral lists this ribosomal RNA (497 nucleotides) under uncultured bacterium. RNAcentral describes it as "partial 16S ribosomal RNA". It matches the Rfam family "Bacterial small subunit ribosomal RNA", at positions 28 to 507 of the family's 1533-position model. The record is from RNAcentral.